RNAcentral lists this transfer RNA (71 nucleotides) under Crossobamon orientalis. Its description in RNAcentral is "tRNA-Lys". Lineage: Eukaryota; Metazoa; Chordata; Lepidosauria; Squamata; Gekkonidae. The record is from RNAcentral.
CCCCAAGACGCCUGCUCAGGCGCUGGCCUUUUAAGCCAGAGGAAGGGCUGCCUAUAGCUGCCCCUUGAGGC